CCUCCGAGUAAAGUUCUUAUCAUAACCUUAUCUUCAAAUCUAGGACUCAAGCACUAGUAAAUUCAAUAGUCUUGUUAAAGAGUUUCACCACACCAAGAAGUUAAGAAGAAUACCAGCAACAAAAGUAGAGAAGAGAAGAUGCAUCAUCCUCACGGACCUCCUCAGCAUCAGGGUCCUCCUCCUCCCGGUUCCGAAGGACCUCCACCGGGAGGUCCGGGUCAUCAUGGACCUCCACCAGGUGGUCCGGGUCACCAAGGACCUCCACCGGGAGGUCCGGGUCACCAAGGACCUCCACCGGGUGGUCCAGGUCACCAAGGACCUGCACCAGGACAACAUGGACCUCCAUCGGGUGGGCCAGGUCACCAUGGUGGCCACGGCGGCCAUGGCGGGCACUGCUAAGCAGGUGCAUGGUUUGGUAGGGUUAUAUAAAUGUUAGUUUGCUGUAAUAAAAGGUAUUAGAGAGGAAUAAGGAUCAUCAAGUGCUUGAUCAGAUAAGAACUAUGCCCUUACAUUACUUGUAUCAUGUGUUUUUUGAGGUAUGCCGUGAAAAGUGGGAAGCCUGACUUGAUCUUUGUACUGAUGUUUUUCUAAGUUCUAUCUUCUAUGUAUGUUAAUCAAAUAAAUUAUAUAUGGGAGUAGUUCCAUAUCUACACUACACGAUGUCCUCUGCUUUUCACUGCACAUCAUUCUUUUCGUGGGGUUCGUUUUCCUUUUUUUCCUGUAACACAUAUCCCCAUGGUAUAAAAUUAUCAAAAUGCUUACUACAAAUUAAUUUGAGCUUCUUUAACCUGAUCAUAAGGCCUUCAUAAAAUGUUUUUCGUGAGUGAAACCAUCGGUUGCAGUGCUACUGCUCAUGCCUAGUGAAAUUAAAUGCAAAGGUGCUUGAAUUAUGCCUCUUUGGAGUUAAAAAGCAGAAAGUGUUUGACAAAUUAAGUAUGUGAUAUGAUCAUUUACUAAUAUAUAAGUGUUGAGACAAUUUUCAAAUGUAAGUUUAGCAAUCUGACAUUGAUUAAACGAUGUAAAGGUUCUCACUUCUGUUAACUACAAGAGAGGUAAGGAAUUUACAAAUUUGAUGGUUGAAACUAAAAAACUAAGAACCAAGCUAAACUAAAUUAAAGAAAAGUUUGAAAAGCUUAAAAGAAUUUAACUCUUCUUGUUCUUGUUGUUCUUUAAAAAUUAUUUUUUAUAUUAGGUUGAAGGCUUUUUCUAGUCUUCUCAUGUGUAAUUUGCAGUUGGACAUUAUUCUACUAUCCUGAAAAUGCUAAAUGUUGGUUGAUAACCACUCAUGAUUUCUUGAAACUUCAAACUUGCAAAAAAAAAAAAAAACACACACACACACACAUAAGAGAAAAGAAAA
RNAcentral lists this long non-coding RNA (1357 nucleotides) under Durio zibethinus. Its description in RNAcentral is "long non-coding RNA (DZIB_LNC001886)". Lineage: Eukaryota; Viridiplantae; Streptophyta; Magnoliopsida; Malvales; Malvaceae. The record is from RNAcentral.